GACGAACGCUGGCGGCGUGCCUAAUACAUGCAAGUAGAACGCACAGUUUAUACCGUAGCUUGCUACACCAUAGACUGUGAGUUGCGAACGGGUGAGUAACGCGUAGGUAACCUGCCUGGUAGCGGGGGAUAACUAUUGGAAACGAUAGCUAAUACCGCAUAAUAUUAAUUAUUGCAUGAUAAUUAAUUGAAAGGUGCAAUUGCACCACUACCAGAUGGACCUGCGUUGUAUUAGCUGGUAGGUGAGGUAACGGCUCACCUAGGCGACGAUACAUAGCCGACCUGAGAGGGUGAUCGGCCACACUGGGACUGAGACACGGCCCAGACUCCUACGGGAGGCAGCAGUAGGGAAUCUUCGGCAAUGGACGAAAGUCUGACCGAGCAACGCCGCGUGAGUGAAGAAGGGUUUCGGAUCGUAAAGCUCUGUUGUAAGAGAAGAGCGGGUGUGAGAGUGGAAAGUUCACACUGUGACGGUAUCUUACCAGAAAGGGACGGCUAACUACGUG
RNAcentral lists this ribosomal RNA (505 nucleotides) under uncultured bacterium. RNAcentral's name for it is "partial 16S ribosomal RNA". It matches the Rfam family "Bacterial small subunit ribosomal RNA", at positions 28 to 507 of the family's 1533-position model. The record is from RNAcentral.